CCUACGGGAGGCAGCAGUCGAGAAUCAUUCACAAUGGGGGAAACCCUGAUGGUGCGACGCAGCGUGGGGGAAUGAAGGUCUUCGGAUUGUAAACCCCUGUCAUGUGGGAGCAAAUUAAAAAGAUAGUACCACAUGAGGAAGAGACGGCUAACUCUGUGCCAGCAGCCGCGGUAAUACAGAGGUCUCAAGCGUUGUUCGGAAUCACUGGGCGUAAAGCGUGCGUAGGCUGUUUCGUAAGUCGUGUGUGAAAGGCGCGGGCUCAACCCGCGGACGGCACAUGAUACUGCGAGACUAGAGUAAUGGAGGGGGAACCGGAAUUCUCGGUGUAGCAGUGAAAUGCGUAGAUAUCGAGAGGAACACUCGUGGCGAAGGCGGGUUCCUGGACAGUAACUGACGCUGAGGCACGAAGGCCAGGGGAGCGAAAGGGAUUAGAUACCCUUGUAGUC
RNAcentral lists this ribosomal RNA (446 nucleotides) under uncultured bacterium. RNAcentral describes it as "partial 16S ribosomal RNA". It matches the Rfam family "Bacterial small subunit ribosomal RNA", at positions 338 to 795 of the family's 1533-position model. The record is from RNAcentral.